UGCCUGGCUUUGGUUGGGUGGGUGAGUGGCGAACGGGUGAGUAACACGUGAGUAACCUGCCCUCUUCUCUUGGAUAACUGCUUGAAAGGGCGGCUAAUACGGGAUGUUCUGGCUGCCUCGCAUGGGGUGGUUUGGAAAGAUUCGGCCUGGUUUUGGUUGUUUUGGUGGGGGAUGGGCUCGCGGCUUAUCAGCUUGUUGGUGGGGUGAUGGCCUACCAAGGCGGUGACGGGUAGCCGGCCUGAGAGGGUGGACGGUCACACUGGGACUGAGACACGGCCCAGACUCC
RNAcentral lists this ribosomal RNA (286 nucleotides) under uncultured Actinomyces sp. Its description in RNAcentral is "partial 16S ribosomal RNA". It matches the Rfam family "Bacterial small subunit ribosomal RNA", at positions 71 to 339 of the family's 1533-position model. Lineage: Bacteria; Bacillati; Actinomycetota; Actinomycetes; Actinomycetales; Actinomycetaceae. The record is from RNAcentral.